CGUAGGUGAAAUCCAGCACCCUCAGUUCAGGAUCCUGAGUACGGCGACACACGUGAAACGUCGUCGGAAUCCGGGAGGACCAUCUCCCAAGGCUAAAUACUCCCUAGUGACCGAUAGUGAACCAGUACCGUGAGGGAAAGGUGAAAAGCACCCCGGAAGGGGAGUGAAACAGUUCCUGAAACCGUGUGCCUACAAGUAGUCAAAGCCCGUUAAUGGGUGAUGGCGUGCCUUUUGUAGAAUGAACCGGCGAGUUACGUUAGCUAGCGAGGUUAAGACGAAAAAGUCGGAGCCGGAGCGAAAGCGAGUCUGAAUAGGGCGAGUGAGUUAGUUGAUGUAGACCCGAAACCAAGUGACCUACCCAUGACCAGGUUGAAGGUGCGGUAAAACGCACUGGAGGACCGAACCCACUUAUGUUGAAAAAUGAGGGGAUGAGUUGUGGGUAGCGGUGAAAUUCCAAUCGAACUUGGAGAUAGCUGGUUCUCUCCGAAAUAGCUUUAGGGCUAGCCUCGGAAAAGCGGAUACUGGAGGUAGAGCACUGUUUGGAUGAUGGUCCCGUCUCGGGAUACUGAAUGCAGAUAAACUCCGAAUGCCAGAUAUUUGUUUCCGGGAGUCAGACUGCGAGUGAUAAGAUCCGUAGUCGAAAGGGGAACAGCCCAGAUCACCAGUUAAGGUCCCUAAAUCCAUGCUAAGUGGAAAAGGAUGUGAAGUUGCACAGACAACUAGGAUGUUGGCUCAGAAGCAGCCACCAUUUAAAGAGUGCGUAAUAGCUCACUAGUCGAGUGACUCUGCGCCGAAAAUGUACCGGGGCUAAGCAUGGUACCGAAACUGUGGGUGCGACCGUAAGGUCGUGCGAUAGGAGAGCGUUCUAAGGGCGGUGAAGGCAGAUCGUAAGGACUGCUGGAGCGCUUAGAAGUGAGAAUGCCGGCAUGAGUAACGAAAAGACAGGUGAGAAUCCUGUCCGCCGUAAGACUAAGGUUUCCUGGGGAAGGUUCGUCCGCCCAGGGUUAGUCGGGACCUAAGACGAGGCCGAAAGGCGUAGUCGAUGGCAAACAGGUGGAGAUUCCUGUACCAGCGCGUUAUGUUUGAACGAUGGAGGGACGCAGGAGGCUAAGGUAACCACGCCGCUGGACGAGCGUGGCCAAGCAGCAAGUCUGGGAGUGAGUGAAAUGCUUAUUCCCGUUAAGGACAAGCUGUGAUGGGGAGCGAAAUUAAGUAGCGAAGUACCUGACGUCACACUGCCGAGAAAAGCUUCUAGUGAGUAACGCGGUGCCCGUACCGCAAACCGACACAGGUAGUCGAGGAGAGUAUCCUCAGGCGCGCGAGAGAACCCUCGUUAAGGAACUCGGCAAAAUAACCCCGUAACUUCGGAAGAAGGGGUGCUGACCGCAAGGUCAGCCGCAGUGAAUAGGCCCAAACAACUGUUUAUCAAAAACACAGGUCUCUGCUAAAUCGAAAGAUGACGUAUAGGGGCUGACACCUGCCCGGUGCUGGAAGGUUAAGAGGAUCUGUUAGCGUAAGCGAAGCAGAGAAUUGAAGCCCCAGUAAACGGCGGCCGUAACUAUAACGGUCCUAAGGUAGCGAAAUUCCUUGUCGGGUAAGUUCCGACCCGCACGAAAGGUGUAAUGAUUUGGGCACUGUCUCAACGAGGGACUCGGUGAAAUUAUAUUACCCGUGAAGAUGCGGGUUACCCGCGACAGGACGGAAAGACCCCAUGGAGCUUUACUGUAGCUUGAUAUUGAGUGUCUGUACCGCAUGUACAGGAUAGGUAGGAGCCGUAGAAACCGGGACGCUAGUCUCGGUGGAGGCAUUGGUGGGAUACUACCCUUGCAGUGCGGCCACUCUAACCCGCGCCACUAAGCGUGGCGGGAGACAGUGUCAGGCAGGCAGUUUGACUGGGGCGGUCGCCUCCUAAAAAGUAACGGAGGCGCCCAAAGGUUCCCUCAGAAUGGUUGGAAAUCAUUCACAGAGUGUAAAGGCAGAAGGGAGCUUGACUGCGAGACAGACAGGUCGAGCAGGGACGAAAGUCGGGCUUAGUGAUCCGGUGGUACUGUAUGGAAAGGCCAUCGCUCAACGGACAAAAGCUACCCUGGGGAUAACAGGCUUAUCUCCCCCAAGAGUCCACAUCGACGGGGAGGUUUGGCACCUCGAUGUCGGCUCAUCGCAUCCUGGAGCUGAAGUUGGUUCCAAGGGUUGGGCUGUUCGCCCAUUA
RNAcentral lists this non-coding RNA (2209 nucleotides) under Schleiferilactobacillus perolens DSM 12744. Its description in RNAcentral is "Lactobacillus perolens DSM 12744 Bacterial large subunit ribosomal RNA". It matches the Rfam family "Bacterial large subunit ribosomal RNA", at positions 374 to 2590 of the family's 2925-position model. Lineage: Bacteria; Bacillati; Bacillota; Bacilli; Lactobacillales; Lactobacillaceae. The record is from Rfam by way of RNAcentral.